CAACAAAAAUAACCAAUUAAUAAAGAGUUCCAAUGUUCAAUAAAUUUAAUGAGUAACUUAAGUACAAGGUAAUUACUUCUGUUAUAAUGGGAUAGGAAGGUAAUCAUGUAUCCAUAUAGAAAAAAACAACUAUUUCACAAUUCACAAAGAUGAUCUCUUACAUAAAAUAUUUAUUUUAUGUAUCUCAUAAUUUGUAACUCCUCAUUAAGGUUAGUGUUUAACUGCUUAAACUCACAUAAUCCAAAUUAAUGUCAUCACAUAAAGGGCAACAACUCAAAACAAAUCAAAUCUUAAAACAUUAACCUCAAAACAAACAACUACGAUAGAGUUAUCCAUGCCUACAUGAUAUGGUAUACAUGGGGAACAUCAACCUCAAUACAAUGAAAGCAUUAAACAUAACACCCAACUUCACCUAGAAUUUAUACUCAUAAUUUAUUACGUAUAUAAUGUUAUGAGUCAUUUGAUGCAUCAUCAACAUAUACAGAGGAUUCUUCUUCCUUCCUGUUGUUUCUAUACAAUAUGAUUCAGGGAAAGCUUAAUGAACAACAAUGGCAAACAAGAAAGAAAAAUAUGGCACUCAAGAACCGAUUUCAAAAAUUAUUAACAAGAAAGGGAAAACUGCAAUUUGAUACAGGUAUUUAAUUUUUUAUAUCAAUUUCAGAUUUAUUAUGGCAAAUCGGAUUCUGAUUUUAUACAUAAUACAUCAGAUUACAUAACAUCAAAGCAUAACUGAUUCUGAUUUCAAAAAUUAUUAACAUAAAAGAAGAAGAUUAGCUUACCCGUUUUUUGAUGAAUUACAGUGAUCUUCAAUGACAGGGAAAGCGAGAGAAAUUGAUCGGAGAUGGCGAGUUCUCUUUAGCCGGCGAGACGGUGGAGAGACGGCAGCUAGAUGCCGGCGACCGGCAAGAUGGCAGUGAGCUGUCGAUGGAGGAGGCGACGAUUUUUGUGUAUGCGCUUUUUUUUUUAGGUUACGAUUGAAAGAAUGGGUAUUAGGUAACGAUGGAAGAAGGGUUUAGGUAUUCAGCCACCCCUUCCUUUUGUUUUUUU
Molecule: long non-coding RNA, 1047 nt
Filed under: Lactuca sativa (garden lettuce)
Lineage: Eukaryota; Viridiplantae; Streptophyta; Magnoliopsida; Asterales; Asteraceae
Description: long non-coding RNA (LSAT_LNC005867)
Source: RNAcentral